Molecule: transfer RNA, 67 nt
Filed under: Chicoreus asianus
Lineage: Eukaryota; Metazoa; Mollusca; Gastropoda; Neogastropoda; Muricidae
Description: tRNA-Tyr
Rfam family: tRNA
About the family: Transfer RNA (tRNA) molecules are approximately 80 nucleotides in length. Their secondary structure includes four short double-helical elements and three loops (D, anti-codon, and T loops).
Source: RNAcentral
UGUUUGGUGGCUGAGAAAUAAGCGAUAGGCUGUAAAUCUAUUAACGAAGUCAAGUUCUUCCCGACAA